Molecule: ribosomal RNA, 1632 nt
Filed under: Klebsiella pneumoniae
Lineage: Bacteria; Pseudomonadati; Pseudomonadota; Gammaproteobacteria; Enterobacterales; Enterobacteriaceae
Description: bacterial LSU rRNA
Rfam family: Bacterial large subunit ribosomal RNA
Source: RNAcentral
AAAGCGGGUGAAAAGCCCGCUCGCCGGAAGACCAAGGGUUCCUGUCCAACGUUAAUCGGGGCAGGGUGAGUCGACCCCUAAGGCGAGGCCGAAAGGCGUAGUCGAUGGGAAACAGGUUAAUAUUCCUGUACUUGGUGUUACUGCGAAGGGGGGACGGAGAAGGCUAUGUUAGCCGGGCGACGGUUGUCCCGGUUUAAGCAUGUAGGCUGGUUAUCCAGGCAAAUCCGGAUAAUCAAGGCUGAGGUGUGAUGACGAGGCACUACGGUGCUGAAGUAACAAAUGCCCUGCUUCCAGGAAAAGCCUCUAAGCAUCAGGUAACAUUAAAUCGUACCCCAAACCGACACAGGUGGUCAGGUAGAGAAUACCAAGGCGCUUGAGAGAACUCGGGUGAAGGAACUAGGCAAAAUGGUGCCGUAACUUCGGGAGAAGGCACGCUGGUGUGUAGGUGAAGUCCCUGCGGAUGGAGCUGAGACCAGUCGAAGAUACCAGCUGGCUGCAACUGUUUAUUAAAAACACAGCACUGUGCAAACACGAAAGUGGACGUAUACGGUGUGACGCCUGCCCGGUGCCGGAAGGUUAAUUGAUGGGGUUAUCCGUAAGGAGAAGCUCUUGAUCGAAGCCCCGGUAAACGGCGGCCGUAACUAUAACGGUCCUAAGGUAGCGAAAUUCCUUGUCGGGUAAGUUCCGACCUGCACGAAUGGCGUAAUGAUGGCCAGGCUGUCUCCACCCGAGACUCAGUGAAAUUGAACUCGCUGUGAAGAUGCAGUGUACCCGCGGCAAGACGGAAAGACCCCGUGAACCUUUACUAUAGCUUGACACUGAACAUUGAGCCUUGAUGUGUAGGAUAGGUGGGAGGCUUUGAAGCGUGGACGCCAGUCUGCGUGGAGCCAACCUUGAAAUACCACCCUUUAAUGUUUGAUGUUCUAACGUUGGCCCCUUAUCGGGGUUGCGGACAGUGUCUGGUGGGUAGUUUGACUGGGGCGGUCUCCUCCCAAAGCGUAACGGAGGAGCACGAAGGUUAGCUAAUCCUGGUCGGACAUCAGGAGGUUAGUGCAAUGGCAUAAGCUAGCUUGACUGCGAGCGUGACGGCGCGAGCAGGUGCGAAAGCAGGUCAUAGUGAUCCGGUGGUUCUGAAUGGAAGGGCCAUCGCUCAACGGAUAAAAGGUACUCCGGGGAUAACAGGCUGAUACCGCCCAAGAGUUCAUAUCGACGGCGGUGUUUGGCACCUCGAUGUCGGCUCAUCACAUCCUGGGGCUGAAGUAGGUCCCAAGGGUAUGGCUGUUCGCCAUUUAAAGUGGUACGCGAGCUGGGUUUAGAACGUCGUGAGACAGUUCGGUCCCUAUCUGCCGUGGGCGCUGGAGAAUUGAGGGGGGCUGCUCCUAGUACGAGAGGACCGGAGUGGACGCAUCACUGGUGUUCGGGUUGUCAUGCCAAUGGCACUGCCCGGUAGCUAAAUGCGGAAGAGAUAAGUGCUGAAAGCAUCUAAGCACGAAACUUGCCCCGAGAUGAGUUCUCCCUGAGACUUUAAGUCUCCUGAAGGAACGUUGAAGACGACGACGUUGAUAGGCCGGGUGUGUAAGCGCAGCGAUGCGUUGAGCUAACCGGUACUAAUGAACCGUGAGGCUUAACCUU